Molecule: ribosomal RNA, 447 nt
Filed under: uncultured bacterium
Lineage: Bacteria
Description: bacterial SSU rRNA
Rfam family: Bacterial small subunit ribosomal RNA
Source: RNAcentral
CGCCAGACUCCUACGGGAGGCAGCAGUGGGGAAUAUUGCACAAUGGGGGAAACCCUGAUGCAGCGACGCCGCGUGAGUGAAGAAGUAUUUCGGUAUGUAAAGCUCUAUCAGCAGGGAAGAAAAUGACGGUACCUGACCAAGAAGCCCCGGCUAACUACGUGCCAGCAGCCGCGGUAAUACGUAGGGGGCAAGCGUUAUCCGGAUUUACUGGGUGUAAAGGGAGCGUAGACGGUUGUGCAAGUCAGAAGUGAAAGCCCGGGGCUCAACUCCGGGACUGCUUUUGAAACUGUGAAACUGGAGUGCAGGAGAGGUAAGCGGAAUUCCUGGUGUAGCGGUGAAAUGCGUAGAUAUCAGGAGGAACACCAGUGGCGAAGGCGGCUUACUGGACUGUAACUGACGUUGAGGCUCGAAAGCGUGGGGAGCAAACAGGAUUAGAUACCCCGGUAU